CCCCCAGGGCAGCCCGCUGGGCACCCGCGUCUGCUCCGGGCCGUGCAUUACUCUGACCGCUGAUGGGAAGAGCCUCUCCCGCGGCUGCUGUCUUGCUGUGGAUGCCUGGACUCAAGGUUAACUGAUGUGUUUCCAGCCCAGGAACAAGCAAGGCCCUACAUUUCCCACCCAAGCUCCGAGUUCCUGCCUCUUCAGAACUCCUGGGCUCAUGUUCAGCCCAAGUUUCAGAGCAGUUCUUCCCUGUCUGCCCCCAC
This is a long non-coding RNA of Mustela erminea (ermine), 254 nucleotides long. RefSeq lists it as uncharacterized. The record is from RefSeq and is a predicted model, not a curated record. The transcript is spliced from 3 exons. NCBI's taxonomy places the organism in Eukaryota, Metazoa, Chordata, Mammalia, Carnivora, Mustelidae.